AAUGAACGCUGGCGGCAGGCCUAACACAUGCAAGUCGAACGGAUCCUUCGGGAUUAGUGGCGGACGGGUGAGUAACGCGUGGGAACAUACCCUUUGGUACGGAAUAGCCUCGGGAAACUGGGAGUAAUACCGUAUGUGGUCGAGAGACGAAAGAUUUAUCGCCAAAGGAUUGGCCCGCGUUGGAUUAGUUAGUUGGUGGGGUAAUGGCCUACCAAGCCGACGAUCCAUAGCUGGUUUGAGAGGAUGAUCAGCCACACUGGGACUGAGACACGGCCCAGACUCCUACGGGAGGCAGCAGUGGGGAAUCUUAGACAAUGGGGGAAACCCUGAUCUAGCCAUGCCGCGUGAUCGAUGAAGGCCUUAGGGUUGUAAAGAUCUUUCAGGCGGGAAGAUAAUGACUGUACCACCAGAAGAAGCCCCGGCUAACUCCGUGCCAUCCGCCGCGGUAA
RNAcentral lists this ribosomal RNA (449 nucleotides) under uncultured bacterium. RNAcentral describes it as "partial 16S ribosomal RNA". It matches the Rfam family "Bacterial small subunit ribosomal RNA", at positions 29 to 523 of the family's 1533-position model. The record is from RNAcentral.